RNAcentral lists this ribosomal RNA (715 nucleotides) under uncultured bacterium. Its description in RNAcentral is "bacterial SSU rRNA". It matches the Rfam family "Bacterial small subunit ribosomal RNA", at positions 8 to 722 of the family's 1533-position model. The record is from RNAcentral.
AGAGUUUGAUCAUGGCUCAGGAUGAACGCUAGCGGUGUGCUUAAUGCAUGCAAGUCGAACGAUUCUCUUGGAUUCGUCUGAGAGGGUAGUGGCGGACGGGUGAGUAACGCGUAGGUGACCUACCUUAGAGUGGGAAUAACUAUUGGAAACGAUAGCUAAUACCCCGGAUGUUAUUAUUUUUAGAAGAUAAUAACUAAAGCUCCGGCGCUCUGAGAUGGGCCUGCGUCCCAUCAGCUAGUUGGUGAGGUAACGGCUCACCAAGGCUUAGACGGGUAGGGGUUCUGAGAGGAUUCACCCCCACACUGGUACUGAGACACGGACCAGACUCCUACGGGAGGCAGCAGUAAGGAAUAUUGGUCAAUGGACGCAAGUCUGAACCAGCCAUGCCGCGUGAAGGAAGACGGCCCUACGGGUUGUAAACUUCUUUUGUACAGGAAAAAACCACCGGUCGUGAACCGGUGCUGAUGGUACUGUAAGAAUAAGCAUCGGCUAACUCCGUGCCAGCAGCCGCGGUAAUACGGAGGAUGCAAGCGUUAUCCGGAUUCAUUGGGUUUAAAGGGUGCGCAGGCGGGUUUGUAAGUCAGUGGUGAAAUACUGCCGCUUAACGGUAGGAUUGCCAUUGAUACUGCAAAUCUUGAGUAUGGUUGAGGUAGGCGGAAUGUGCAGUGUAGCGGUGAAAUGCAUAGAUAUUGUACAGAACGCCGAUUGCGAAGGC